RNAcentral lists this transfer RNA (69 nucleotides) under Marmota monax (woodchuck). RNAcentral's name for it is "tRNA.Ala". Lineage: Eukaryota; Metazoa; Chordata; Mammalia; Rodentia; Sciuridae. The record is from RNAcentral.
GGCUGUAGCUCAGUGGUACAGUGCUCACCUGGCACGUGAAAGGCACAGGGUUCAAUCCUCAGCACGACA